GUGCUUCUGGGGUCUGACUGGUUUGGUGCUGACCAGAAGCUGGGUGGGCAACAGCGGGACCCACCACGAAGGAUCUUUGCUGAAAGCAUUGUCGCUCAGUGGGGCAGUGAGGGCCUGUUCCGCAGUUCAUGUGUUCAACAGAAACUCAUCGCACUGAUUAUUUCUCACCACUGCUUCCCUUGGGGUUUCCCAAAUGGCUAAAUGACAGGGGUGUUUGAGAGUGCUAAAAAGAACCCUAGUGGUUUCCAUCUGUGUAAUGGACUAUCCUGAGAGGAAUUGCAUAUGUGUCCCCAGUCAGCAAGUUAGUCGCUGGUCUACUUCCCUCUUGUCAUAACGUGGAACAAGAGGAAUAGUUUAAAGAUGCGAGUAAUAUCUGAGAGAAAGCCCUGUGUUUGAAAGUGUCACUGAAAUGUCAUCAAAGAGGAACGGACUGGCUGCUGUUCUAUGCUGCUGCUGGACAAGUGGGCUGCUGUGGCUUUGUACCACUCCUACGCCUGCAGUUUGUAGUUCUGGAGUACAGAGACUUGACUCGUACUCUGACUGAAUGCUGUGAAGCCAACAGGCUGUGGUUAGAUCUUGUUGGGUGUAUCUUUUACAAAGACAUGAAAAUUUGAUUUAAUGACUCCACGUUAAUUGCCUUGCUCCUUUCCAGGGCUAACUUUUACCGCUUUUGUGGAAGUGCCGUAAGGCCAUAAUCCAACCCUCUGAGGAAAGUACACGGGAAGAUGCCACACAUACAUCUACUGACAGAAAAUUGGCCUCCGUCAGAACCUGGGAAUGCGCUGCUAUGGGGAGCUGAUUGCUCUGCUGAAAUCAAACCAUAAAGAGUGCAGGUCUGCCUCUUAUUUAAGACAAAGUUGAGACUUUUAUGGAAGAAGCUGCAUUUUAGACCUCAUACGAAGAAGAAAGAUUCUUCUGAAAGUGGAAAUCAGCAUAGGAAAGUGUAAGAGGCAGAGCUCACAAAGGAACAGAAGGAGUGCAGAGGGAAUCAGCAAUUGUCUCUUGGGAGAAGAAGGAAAGACAUGAAAGGGACUGCGGUAAAGCAAAAGAAUGCAUCUGACAAUCUGACAAGAACAAGGAAAGUGAAUCAGAAGUUGAAUUCAAAAAUCUAACAUAGUUCUGAGCUGCAUGAUCAAGCCAGGCUUUGUUCCACGCUACUGCUUCCAAAACUGCUGACACAGCAGACGUGAGAAUACAGGUUCAGAGAAUCACGAAGGGAUAAAUGGGCAAAUUUGCUCGGUGCUUGUUGUUGCAGAAGUCUUUGUGCUGAGCAUUUAUUCUCCAGUGGUUAGAAGGGACAAGCCCAGCUCAACUGGUACUUUGUUAAAAAGAAUUUCCUGUAGACUGCACUGAAAGUGGAUACUUCAUGCUAUUCAUUAAAGCUCAGUGAUAAAGCUCAGAUUUCUGGUUCCAAACCCAACGAAAGCAGGUACCAAUGUUCAAUGCCCAUACCUAAUAUACUGGCUUGUGAGAUACCAGAAUCCUGAUUCAAGAAGACAGAAGAUCACUGGCAGGAACAGAAGAAAAUGAGUCUAGAAAAGAAAAAGCUGUCUUGAGAAGAUUCAAUUUUCAUUGUUAAACCAACUAAAAGGUGACUUUGAAGAAGAAGAUAAACUUUCCACACUGGUGAUGGAUUCUUUUUCCUGCUAUUUUGAUUAAAAAUGAAGCUGAAAAUCUUUUAAAGCUUUAGAGACAGAAUUCCUUCAGCAAACAAGAGAAUGAGAAGAGCGUCAGGUAGCGGUGUGAACUUCUGCAUUGCCUUGAAUAUGUGCUGCUCUGUGGAAGAACCGUUUCUAGAAGUAGGCACCAGAGGGAGAAGAUGGAUGGAAGAUAGGGUGCAUUACAAAGGCUGUUCAAGGUUUGGAAAUUAAAGGUAAGGGAAAUGCUGUAACCAGACAUAUAGAAAAUCAGUGAUUGAAUGAAGACUAGAAUUUCAGCCUCUUGAUGCCUUGUGUAGUGUUUCACCUCUGCCAUCAUUUCUGAGAAACCAGUCCUGUUUAUCUUCAGUUAUUUCUUGACUAUGCUUGCUACUCUGCACUUCCAUCCUGUCCAAUGCAGUAGAGAGUAAGCAGUACAGCACGCUUUAAAUAGAUGCUUUUUCAGACUAUGUUCACAUUUAGUUUUUUUGUUUUGUUUUGUUUUGUUUUGUUUUUUAAUAUAGCAGGAACACUGGAAACACUGAGCAUGUGAAAUUGUUAAUAUUUUCAGUUGAUUAGAUGAAAGAAAUAUCUGGUUCUGGUUCUAUUUUAGAGAAAUAGUGCAAUGAGCAAAAGAGCAAUGCACUUUGUCUUUUGGACAAUUGCUCUGAAGACUUGUAUAAAUCUGACACAUUUCUUGUAUUUUUUUAAUUUCAUUCUUGAGAUUCUGCUUGGGAAGGAGUAGUUUUAAAAAUUCAUUAUUUUUUGAUUGCAAGCUGGAUGUCAGCCAACUAAAUUUUUGAAUUUGAAAGAAAAUGCAGCAUCAGCUUCUCCGGAACUAUAAUGGAAUGAAACCCUCCAAGCACUCAUUAAAAGGGCUUCUGACGUCUAGCAAAAUUAGAAGAGGUGUAAAUCACUGAAAUACCAUAUGUGGAUUUGAAAUGGAAUACUUAAUUCUGGAGAACCAGAACCUAAGGCUAUGGGAAAAUUUAACUACACCAGCAUAAUAUUUUGAUGAUGGAAAGCGUAAUACCAUUACAAAGGCUUUAUGUUUAAUUUUAAAAAAUGUUUACAGGGGGAAUCUCCAUUGAUAUCUAAAUUGCUAUCUGGCAUAUAGGCAAAUGCUUGAGGAGUUUAAUAACUUUCCUCCACUGAAGAUUUUCUAAGUGAUUUACAAAUAUUAUUGGAAAAGUCUGACUGUAAAAGCUUGAUAAUAAUUAUUUAUUCCCUUAGCUUCCUUCUGAUGAUUUUAUGUCCCUUGAUACUGCCCAUGUCAGAGAAGUUUGCUAUUGCUCCUUGGUCACUCCAGGAUGGAGUUGGUUCCAUUGUGGGACAGAAGGGACCAGGGACUAUGAAACAGCUUGCCUUUGAUUUUCAACGUAUUCAAAAUGCGACUGGAAAAUGCCAUUUUUUCCCCCCCAAUAAUGUAACAGUAGUAGCAUCACUAAAUAUUUCUGCUCCUGUUGUUUCCACUGACCCUUGUUAGGAAUGGGGCUUCAUUAUUCUGGUGCCAUGCAAAUUUCAAAGGAAGAAUGCCUGCCCUGAAGUGUUUGUACACUUGGAGAGCAAACAGGCAUAAUGAAAGUGAUGUGAGUGCAUUACAUGAACAAAAAAGAGGAGAACUGGUCUCACUUUGUUAUACAUUAAGGGCUUUCUAUUGUUGUAUUUAAGGAAUUCAAUUUUAAUCCCUUUUGACUCUAUGUGGAAUAUGACUUUGUGAGAUCAUAUAGUUUAUCACAUGGUUUUCCAUUUUUUUAAGUCAUCAGGCUGUGAUUCAGUAUGGUGUUGCCCUUGUGAAAGCAGGCAAGGAUUCAUUUCAGAUGCAGCAAAAGUGUAACUGCCUCAACAUAAAAACCUGUUUAAACAGAAAAUCAUUUUUAUUUUCUUGUUUAUAUUGCAUAUAAGAAUGGAAUACUUCUGUACAGCAACAUACUUCAUUGUGAUGGGAUGGAUGAACAGAGUUUGAUUGCUCAAAGAGAGAGAUGUGUUCAUCUCUUUCAGCCAGACAAGGUGGGUCUUGGGAAUUACAUUUUAAGAGGAAUGGUGCUGAAGGCAAGGGAGAGAUCAUGUGAGAAAACCUGCAUUUGAGGAAAUCUUAUGCAGAAUUUCAAAUUUAUUGACUUACGAAUAAAGACAUUCUUCAGAAAAGGAAUGAGCUUUGAAAGACUCAGGAUAUGCAGCACUGUGCUGAGAAUAAGGAAGAGAUUUGGUCCCUUCUCAUUGUUCUCUGGAGUGGGGAAGCAGAGCAGUGUGUUGGGAUCAAAGGAUGCCUGGUAAUUUAUUUUGUGUCCUUUUCUACAGCUACUUUGAUAUCCAGCAUAAGCUGAAAUGAAUAACAUUCAUUUCUUGAGGAAAAUGUGGUGCAUUUGAAAACCAGUGUUCAAAUGAGCAAUAAUCCAGACUGGCUUCCUUUGUGUUAUCCAAAGCAGCAGCGUCUUCAGCUUGAGAUAAGGAUGUCCUCUGACUCAGGCACAUGACAGACAGGCCUUGGAUGAAGCUAUAAUCUUGUACUUCCCCAUAGACAUCAUGCCAGAAGGUUCAGAAGUAAGGCCAGAGAGAAGUUAGCCAGCAAGAAAAGAAUCUAAUCUGCCCAAACAACGUAUCUGGGGAGGUUUGUGGAGUGAGGGCUCUAUUUUUGCCCAGAUUUCAAAGUAAUAUAAUCUGUUCACAUAUUUGUUCCCCUCCAUAACUGUUUUUUUACAAUUACAUAUUUUAUUUUUAUUAUUAUUAUUUUUUUAGACCUAUCCGCUUGCUACCUAGCAACAUGUAAUCAGAUUUUAUGACUCAAAUACGUGAAAACUGAGGACGGUGAUCAAGAAAGAGGAGGGUUAUCACCAAAUGGGUUAUCAAGAAAGACACAAAUAAGAGAUAGUAGUUUCUUAAAUACACAUUUGCACUUAUGGCCUUUUCCUCUCAAUUCCCAGACUGUAGUACCUAAGAAGUUUAUUCUCUUUAAUUGUAGACAACAAAAAUAUGCUGAAAGCUCAGUCUAAGCCUACCCUGCAAAUGACAAGCUGUCAUUCUGCUUGUAUAAUUUUCUGACAUUCUUCAGAGAGAUGUGGGCAUCUGUUUUUGCCCUCACAGGAAACAUCCAUAUUGUCUGCUAUUUAUAAAAUUGUCAUUCAUUUUGUAUUUGUAUUCAUAUGCAACCUUGGACAUCAAACGGACUUUUUAUUCAAGGCAUUUAUGGUGCCUUACUGGAGAUUGUCCCUCUCAGCUGGGGAAGUAUCACCAGGAUCUUAGUGCUUUUUAAACAAAAAAAAAGGCUGCUGUAGUUACAGAACUUAAGAAGUAUGCUAAUAAUGUUUGAGCGUGCGUGUGCAUGUGUGUUCAUGUUGAGAUAACCCACCAAACCAUACGAUAUUAGGACCAUGUCAGACUACUGCAGUGAUGGGUGAUGUAGGCAACACAGUAUAAUUUUGUAAGGCAUUCAUGCUGGUCAUAUCCUUUACAUGAUAUCUCCAUACUACGCUGCAUUGAUAGAACCAUGAAUGCUAACAACAGAAUUAAAUAAGUAAAAAAAAAAAGAAUGCAACUUAU
This is a long non-coding RNA of Oxyura jamaicensis (ruddy duck), 5177 nucleotides long. RefSeq lists it as uncharacterized. The transcript has 10 exons. The record is from RefSeq and is a predicted model, not a curated record. NCBI's taxonomy places the organism in Eukaryota, Metazoa, Chordata, Aves, Anseriformes, Anatidae.